Molecule: ribosomal RNA, 468 nt
Filed under: uncultured bacterium
Lineage: Bacteria
Description: partial 16S ribosomal RNA
Rfam family: Bacterial small subunit ribosomal RNA
Source: RNAcentral
GACGAACGCUGGCGGCGUGCUUAACACAUGCAAGUCGAACGGAAAGGCCCUGCUUUUGUGGGGUGCUCGAGUGGCGAACGGGUGAGUAACACGUGAGUAACCUGCCCUUGACUUUGGGAUAACUUCAGGAAACUGGGGCUAAUACCGGAUAGGAGCUCCUGCUGCAUGGUGGGGGUUGGAACGUUUCGGCGGUUGGGGAUGGACUCGCGGCUUAUCAGCUUGUUGGUGGGGUAGUGGCUUACCAAGGCUUUGACGGGUAGCCGGCCUGAGAGGGUGACCGGCCACAUUGGGACUAAGAGACGGCCCAGACUCCUACGGGAGGCAGCAGUGGGGAAUAUUGCACAAUGGGCGGAAGCCUGAUGCAGCAACGCCGCGUGCGGGAUGACGGCCUUCGGGUUGUAAACCGCUUUCGCCUGUGACGAAGCGUGAGUGACGGUAAUGAGUAAAGAAGCACCGGCUAACUACGUG